UGGGGAAUAUUGGACAAUGGGGGGAACCCUGAUCCAGCCAUGCCGCGUGUGUGAAGAAGGCCUUAUGGUUGUAAAGCACUUUAAGCGAGGAGGAGGGUACUGGUAUUAAUACUACCAGCUACUGGACGUUACUCGCAGAAUAAGCACCGGCUAACUCUGUGCCAGCAGCCGCGGUAAUACAGAGGGUGCGAGCGUUAAUCGGAUUUACUGGGCGUAAAGCGUGCGUAGGCGGCUAAUUGAGUCGGAUGUGAAAUCCCCGAGCUUAACUUGGGAAUUGCAGUCGAUACUGGUUAGCUAGAGUGUGGGAGAGGAUGGUAGAAUUCCGGGUGUAGCGGUGAAAUGCGUAGAGAUCUGGAGGAAUACCGAUGGCGAAGGCAGCCAUCUGGCCUAACACUGACGCUGAGGUACGAAAGCAUGGGGAGCAAACAGG
Molecule: ribosomal RNA, 430 nt
Filed under: Pseudomonadota bacterium
Lineage: Bacteria; Pseudomonadati; Pseudomonadota
Description: Proteobacteria bacterium partial 16S ribosomal RNA
Rfam family: Bacterial small subunit ribosomal RNA
Source: RNAcentral